Molecule: transfer RNA, 72 nt
Organism: Camelus ferus (Wild Bactrian camel)
Lineage: Eukaryota; Metazoa; Chordata; Mammalia; Artiodactyla; Camelidae
Rfam family: tRNA
About the family: Transfer RNA (tRNA) molecules are approximately 80 nucleotides in length. Their secondary structure includes four short double-helical elements and three loops (D, anti-codon, and T loops).
Source: Rfam
AAGGGUAUAGCUCAAGUGGUAGAGAGCAUGCUUAGCAUGCAUGAGUCCUGGGUUCAGUCCCCAGUACCUCCU